Molecule: ribosomal RNA, 403 nt
Filed under: uncultured bacterium
Lineage: Bacteria
Description: partial 16S ribosomal RNA
Rfam family: Bacterial small subunit ribosomal RNA
Source: RNAcentral
AUUGAACGCUGGCGGCAGGCCUAACACAUGCAAGUCGAGCGAGCGGCGGACGGGUGAGUAAUGUAUGGGGACUGCCCGAUAGAGGGGGAUAACUACUGGAAACGGUAGCUAAUACCGCAUACUAUCGGAUAACCAAUAUGGGAUUAGCUAGUUGGUGAGGUAAUGGCUCACCAAGGAGACGAUCCCUAGCUGGUCUGAGAGGAUGAUCAGCACCACUGUGACUGAGAACCGGCCCAGCCCCUUACGGAGGCAUCAGUGGGGAGUAUUGCACAAGGUGGGAAAGCCUGAUUCAGCCAUUCCGCGUGGAUGAAGAAGGCCUUAGGGUUGUAAAGUACUUUCAGCGGGGAGGCGUUACCCGCAGAAGAAGCACCGGCUAACUCCGUGCCAGCAGCCGCGGUAAUAC